Dendrobium catenatum is the source of this 960-nucleotide long non-coding RNA. RefSeq lists it as uncharacterized. The record is from RefSeq and is a predicted model, not a curated record. The transcript is spliced from 3 exons. NCBI's taxonomy places the organism in Eukaryota, Viridiplantae, Streptophyta, Magnoliopsida, Asparagales, Orchidaceae.
AAUUCCUACUCUGAAUACUCGUUGCUUUUGUCAGUUAUCUUUAUGGCCAACCAAACAAUUUAAGAUUGCCAAAUGACUUGAGCUUACGAGCUUCUCCCUUAGUUUAUGCUAAGCUCCAACCAAACAGGCAGGAGAGUUAGGAUCCUUUGAGAGGUGGAAGAGAUGAGCUACUUGAAGACAUAGUUUCUUUCAUCCAUGCGGGCGAUGCUGCUUCUCUAGCCAAAAAUGCUGUUGCACCUCCUGCAAGACGCCUUGUUCCUGAAUUGAUGCUGCAAUUAGCUCGCAAAGUCAGCCCUUUCUAAAUUUUCAACUUAAUUUUGAGAUUUUUCUACAGGACGAUAUGACCUUAUUCUUUAUGGCCUUGGCAUAUUGAAGAUGCUUUUAGGCAGUGAAAUUUCCAAAAAUUGACUCUUUAGUAUUAGUUGAAUGGCUAACUCAAUUCGUUUUGAAGAACUAGUGUGCAUGAAAUUCAAAAGAAGGAAUCAUCAGCGUUCUUCAGAAUUGACAGAGGUACAAGAGGUGAUGAAGCGCUGGAAUCACAACUCUGCUCCCGAGUUGGCCAAUCAUAAACACAUCAGAAACUUUUAUAUCAUAAAGUUAUAUAGGCAUUAUCUUUUGUAACAUCUUAGCUUAUGAAACUAAUGAAUUGUUGGCAUGCUUGCGCUCCAAUUGUAUUCAUCAACCAUUCAAAUUUAAUUUCUUGCACCAACUCCUUGUGCUGAAAAUGUCAACUAUAAUCAUUCUUCCUCUCUUCCCCUAAGCCACCAAAAUGAAGAGCUUUGAUCACUAUUAGUAUCAGAUUGUCACAUAAUUUUAUCAUAUGAGAGAUAUUACAGGUAGUGAACAUCGUUAUAAUAAGGCUGUAUUUUAUUGCUGUAGGCAAACUAGCAUAAACAUUACAUAACAACCUGAUCUGAGGUUUAUGAUAAUUUUAUUAGAGUAACUGGAUGUUGAUAAAGA